Molecule: long non-coding RNA, 520 nt
Organism: Daphnia carinata
Lineage: Eukaryota; Metazoa; Arthropoda; Branchiopoda; Diplostraca; Daphniidae
Exons: 3
Source: RefSeq, a predicted model, not a curated record
GUCUGCGAGGGAAGGUGUGCAGUCACUUAUCUUAAACAUCAGAAGUUCUAGAAAAUGCUCUUGAGCAAUGUUGAUUUUUGUUUUGGUUUACUGCUGUUCCUGGAUGGACAAUGAACGAUAGAAACAACAACAUAGUAAGGUGGCAACUCAUUCGGCAUGAAUAUAUAUAAGUGAACAAGUAUUCUCAAAUCAAAUAAUAAGGUUUGUCGGAUGUGUGUACGUGGCUUCAACACAUGAGAUGUAACACCUAUUAGACAUAUUAACAUGUACUCAUAUCACAGGAGGGUGGGUGAGAUUUUGUCCAGGAAUUUCUGGCAUUGCAGCUGAAAGAUUGGCGAGCCGAAGGACUUCCUGUUCAGUAUUACUCCUGUUGAAGCCGAGGCGUAUAGCUGAAACACACGUAUCAUUUCAUCUCUUAUAUGCCUCAUCUUUGUAUAGAAAGUGUGUUGGUAACCCUUUGUUUUGUGUUUUGUUGAAACUUUACUAUGUCAUUUUCAAGUGAGAUUUUUAUUUGGUUUUA